Long non-coding RNA from Lycium barbarum (goji berry), 3527 nucleotides. RefSeq lists it as uncharacterized. The transcript has 4 exons. The record is from RefSeq and is a predicted model, not a curated record. NCBI's taxonomy places the organism in Eukaryota, Viridiplantae, Streptophyta, Magnoliopsida, Solanales, Solanaceae.
AUUCUCUCUACACUUUCUCUCAAUUUAUAGUUAUUUUGUAGCAAUUAGCCACUUUAAAAUUACAAUUUGUCUCAAUUAUACACUAUGAAGUUUCCUUCAAGUUUCAAUUUUAUAUUUUGCAAUUAUAUAAACAAAGUGUUGGUGGUUCCGGUCCGGGUAUAAUCGGUUGACAGGCUUAGAGGAAGUAUAAUAUAUCAAUCAAUUUCUCCUUAUUCGCAAAAUGAAGGGGAGCCUUGGCGUAACUGGUAAAUUUACUAUCAUGUGACCAGGAGGUCACGGGUUCGAGCCGUGAAAACAGUCUCUUACAGAAAUGCAAGGAUAAACACGUGUGCUCCAAACUGCAGACACGUACCUCUUCAAACUCUUUCUCGUUCUCCAUCUACCUCUGUCCUAUUCUCUCCUUAACACAGAGGAGUGCUCUGUAGACUAUUGGUGAAAAGAGUUCCGAGGUUUGUUCUUCUCAGAUUUUUGUUUCAGAUGUCAUUGCUUUGAUAUUGUCUUUUCCCUUUAGUCGAAAAGCCAGGCAAAAUGGGAGAGUUUUUUCCAUCAAAAGUUAUAAAAAAAAAAAGAAACUGCGAGCCACUGAAGAAAAAGACGAAGAAGAAUUGAAGCCAUGUUUGCCGCUUCUUCUGAAAUGGAAAAGAUAAGAAUUUUUUUUGAAUCUACGGGGAUUUCCCGUUAGUUUGAUGAUAUUGUGCUUACUUCUGUUUACUUUCUCUUUAUUGCAGUAUGUUCUUAUAAUUUCUGGUCAAUUUAGAUAUUGUUUCGUUAAUUUGUAUCGAUUUUUUGUUAUUUGUUGAUGGGUUAUUUUUUUUUCAAUGAGAUGCUAAAAUUGUUGUUAAUGAGUAUUUGUGGGGAUCUCAAAUUACUAAUUUCUUAGAUGUUUUCUUACAUUGUGCAUGCAUGUUUGAAAUUUUCCUACAUAGGUAUAAACAUGCUCUGCCACAUUGAAUUUCCAUAUAGGAGAAAAAAAACGAGAAGAAAUUAAACUUAUAGAAGAGCUUUGAUGCAGCUAAGAUGUUUGAAAAUAUUAUUUAAUUAGCUUAAACCAUGUAAUUCUGGUGAGUUGAAUUUGACUUUUUUAGGUAUGAUUUUCUACUGGAUAUUCGCACUACUCUUCAUUUUCUUUAAUGUUAGUUAUGGCUCACGAGCUAUUAUCUAAUCCUCUGCUCUGUGUCUGGUCAUGCUAUUUUGUUGUUAAAUCUUUAGCUUAAUGACAAAUAUAAUAGGAAAAAACGGUGAAAACACUAUGAGCAAGCCCUACAUAUAAUUAUAUGCAGUGUUGCUUUGAUCCACUUCUCUUAACCUUCUUGAUAUCCGAUGUCAGGCAGUAAAAAUUUGUACAUAUUUGGCUUUUCUUGCCUGAAUAUGAUGAUCCACUGGUGUGUCUGUUAUAUUCACCAGAUUUUGUUAUUUGGUAUAGUCGAGGUGCAUGUACAAACCCCAAGUAGCAUGAGAUGAAGAAUUUGCCAGAAAGUGAUGAUGUUUUUUCUGAUGUAGAGUGAUCUUCGCGGCCAAGACACUUUCGGAGAACAACAAUUGCCCGGUGAAGUUCCAUGUGGUAAGAAAUUGUUGAUUGUGCUACACAAACCAAGAUAUUUUUGCAUUACGUUCUAACAUAUAGUUGUUCUUUUAAACAUCAGGCAGUUGCAUAUUGUGUAUCCUUAUUUUAGGGACGGUAAAUUCUUACAAUUAUCAGCCCUACUGUCUUCUUGAUAGGGCUUGCAAUGUCAGUUGCUUUUGUGGCGUCGUUGCAACUUUAUACAAAUUUUGCGCGAGUCUUCUUAGUUAUAACCCAAUCAAGAAGGUAUCUCAAGUCAGAGACCGAGAAAUCUCAAACUCCUCAUUCUUGAAAGUCAUAUGUACAAUUUUCACUCCAGUUCAUCACUUUGCAAGAUGAUAUGCAUCAACCACUUUAUUUACCUAGAAACAGGGGCGCCUUUUAUUCGGCCUGCAAAGUGUCGUUUUUAUGAAUAAGUUGAGACUUGAAAGUUGAAUGUAAAUUACUCUGGACAUCAAGCUACAAAAAUGGACAACAGUGUCAGGCAUAUCCCGUGCUUUACUUUAGAUUGCAUGGACUGCAUUAGAACUUCAUACUACAAAAGUAUUGCAUGAAAACUUAAAUUGGUGAACAAAGUUGAAUCCUGCGGGGUUAUGUCCGAAUGUUGGGCAUAUAUUCUUUGCCUAUUCGAGGUAUUUAUAGAUGCUAUGUAAAACUGCGUAUGGUUAUUUUCUAAUUUGCGUUUAUUUUGUUAGGAAACAAAGUAGGACUUGGAACUGGAGUGGUGUGAAUUGGGGAGAAAAUCAUAAACAAGAUUUAUAUUCCAAGCAGCAGAGUUCAACAUAAGAUAACUUGGCCAAGAUUAAUCUAUUUGAGAAAGGAGAGAAACAGAAGAUUCUUUGUAGGUUCACGAAUUUUUCUAUGUAUUAGUUGAAGAACAUAAAAGGCUUAUUUCUCACUUGGAAGAUGUGUUUACACACUCCAGAGCCUUUCUUGGAUGGUUGUGGUAUGAUGUUCUUACAUUACUCUCAUAAUGGUAUUUUAUUCUUGCUCCGUUGAAAAGUAAUCUAAACUGUGCUCUUUUAAGAAAUCAAUCUAUUUUCUUGAUAAAAAAGAAGGCAUCAAUCUAUUAAUAAAUUGCUGCCCAUAAACCAAAACUCAGAGAGAGAACUGAUUAAUUUAUCAUGAUAUUGGAGAUGAAUGAGUACAAUAUAUAGAUUUAUAGUGACAAUUCUAAUGUGGUGUCUUGAUAGUUAGAUGUACAAAAAUCCUACAGCGUAUAAAAGUACAGAUAAACAAUAAGGGGAUUAAUGGAUAAAUUACUUCCCAAAAUUUUCCUGAAGUAGUAAAGAAAAUAAAGAGCUACCUGAUCAUCUGUAAAUAUACCACCAGUAUAUGUAGUACCAAUAUAACUUGGUAAGAAUCUCUAUAGUUGACCACUCCUUAAGUUAAUUUCUCCCUUUUCAACUAUAUGAGAUACUAAUUAAUGCAAAAAACGAGCCUAUUGGUAAGUCAUCUUUUCAAUACCAUUCAACUUGAUCCUUCUGUAAUUGAAGCACGUUAUGGAUGGAAAAUCAACAUUCGUGAGAAGAAAUUGCUAAAUCUAUCAUUCUCUUCAUUUUAUGGAACAACUUAGUUUUUCUGAGAUGCUAAGACUUUCUGCCUGCAGAAGGCAUCCCAUUUCCUUUUAACCUUAUUGUACUUCAAUACUAUCUUGCAGAAGAUGAUUGCUUAAGUUAAUUUAAAUUUGCAGGCUUUCCUAACUUUUGCAUGCUUACUACACAACACCAAUUUUGAUGUUUACCUUUCUUUUUUUUAGUAGAUGCCCAGAUUAAAUAUGUGUUGGCAGCUGUCAAAAUUCAGAUUUCAUGCAAUUGUAACACUGCUCAUACAUAAGUUGGACCACCUGCAUGGUCAUGAAAACCCGUAAUAUUAUUGUCUUUAUAGCACGUUAAAAAAUGUAAUUGUAUGACUUUGUUCCACAAAUUGAUGUAUUACGUCAAUACUUCAGUUUGAUAUUUCCUUU